Molecule: long non-coding RNA, 461 nt
Filed under: Homo sapiens (human)
Lineage: Eukaryota; Metazoa; Chordata; Mammalia; Primates; Hominidae
Description: non-protein coding lnc-CAMK2G-3:1
Source: RNAcentral
CACAAACUUAUCUUCGUUGAUGCUGUUGCAUACCUCACUGGCAAGCGCCUCUGCCUGGACCUUGACCGCUACAUCUUGGUAGACAUCGAUGACAUCUUUGUGGGCAAGGAAGGGACCCGCAUGAAGGUGGCUGAUGUUGAGGCUCUGUUGACCACCCAGAACAAACUCAGGACCUUAGUUCCCAACUUCACCUUCAACUUGGGCUUCUCGGGCAAGUUCUAUCAUACUGGUGAGCUUAUACCCCUACUCCUUUGGCAUAUCAUAGUUUGACCUGUCCCUUCACUGUCCACCUCCCUGGGCAGACAAGUUGAAGAAAAGGGUCAAGGUUUGGGGUCAGACUGCUGUGAGGAGCUAGUGGUGGGCAUGAAUUUAGGUUCGCAUGGGUGGCUGGAUGGCAAGUUGGCAGUGGGGCAAAUAGAAAGUCUUAGGCAAGGAUCAGGGAUGGAAGGUGGUCAGUGUUG